Molecule: ribosomal RNA, 465 nt
Filed under: Vreelandella stevensii
Lineage: Bacteria; Pseudomonadati; Pseudomonadota; Gammaproteobacteria; Oceanospirillales; Halomonadaceae
Description: partial 16S ribosomal RNA
Rfam family: Bacterial small subunit ribosomal RNA
Source: RNAcentral
CCUACGGGAGGCUGCAGUGGGGAAUAUUGGACAAUGGGGGGAACCCUGAUCCAGCCAUGCCGCGUGUGUGAAGAAGGCCCUCGGGUUGUAAAGCACUUUCAGUGAGGAAGAACGCCUGGUGGUUAAUACCCAUCAGGAAAGACAUCACUCACAGAAGAAGCACCGGCUAACUCCGUGCCAGCAGCCGCGGUAAUACGGAGGGUGCGAGCGUUAAUCGGAAUUACUGGGCGUAAAGCGCGCGUAGGUGGCUUGAUAAGCCGGUUGUGAAAGCCCCGGGCUCAACCUGGGAACGGCAUCCGGAACUGUCAUGCUAGAGUGCAGGAGAGGAAGGUAGAAUUCCCGGUGUAGCGGUGAAAUGCGUAGAGAUCGGGAGGAAUACCAGUGGCGAAGGCGGCCUUCUGGACUGACACUGACACUGAGGUGCGAAAGCGUGGGUAGCAAACAGGAUUAGAUACCCCGGUAGUC